CACUGUUCGCGUAUUGCGGCGCGGCGCAUGCGAGUCGUCCCGCAUAUGUCGACGGGUGCAACGCGGCGCGUGGCGGUCGUCCCCGGUCAUCCCGCGUGCAUCCACGAAAUCCUCGACUCCCAGUCCCAAGCUCUUCUCCCCGCUCCCCCUCCUCGGAUCUAACCACUCCGCCCCUGUCCUGGUGCUUUCUCUAUCGGCGAGUUCAAGGGAACAUCGGCCGACGAUGGGGAAGAAAUGCCCCCCUUCUCUGUAUAAAACGCGUGCUCCGGCGGCCAAGACACGCGCGCCACAGGGAGUGGGGAGCCAUGGAGGCGGAUCUCGAGGAGGCCGAGCAGGGCAAGGAUGCGGUGGCCAGGCUCACCUACGAGAUCUUCUCCAUCCUUGAGAUCAAGUUCCUCUUCGGCCGCGACGUCCCCGAGCACUUCCCCUCCGUCGUCGGGCCCACGCAUGCGUCGGCGGCCGCAGCCAAGGUGUGCGUCCUCUCCAUUGACGGCGGCUGGCGCAACACUUGUGCGGCUCGAGGCCGUGCUACGGCAGCACGCGGGCAGCCAGGCCACGCGGCUCGCCGACUAUCUCCAUCGACGACAGUGCGCGCCCGGUCGACGGGCUCCUCGCCGGCUCAGCACUCGUGCGGCUCGAGGCUGUGCUGCGACGGUGCGCGGGUAGCCAGGAGCCAUCCUCCUCAACUCGACCGACCGCGACGAGGUCGCCUACCACCGCCGAAUCCCCGACGAGGUCACCCUCCUUUGAUGAACAGGAAGGUAUCCACGAACAGUCCUUCGUCUUCGUCAGGUGUGGGGUCCGCGACCACUCUGUUGCCUUCCAAUCCUCCGAUCGAUGAUACGCCACCACCGGCUCAAGUGCGUAGCCGUCCAGGCAACCACCAAAUGGAUCCACAAGACCCACACGCGCCGCGGGUGUCCGACGUGGGCACCCAUGUGAAGGAAAGGAUGGUAGUUCCAUCGAUGGCAGGGAGGGCAAAGAGAAGCCGGAGACCAUCGCCCGCUCCCAUGCGCCUGCUGCUUCACCACCCCGGCCUCGGCAUGGCUGUCCUUCCCAUCAGCGUCGAUGAGAUCUUCGCCUUCCCCUAUUCAUCUUUUUUUCCCCUUAAUUUCUUCCAUGCUUCUUGAUGUGUUGCUACACCAGGAAACAAUAAGAUGAUUGUGACACAAAUGUUCCUUGCGAUUCUUACAAUUUCUUAAACAUGGUUUGCUUCCUGUGAUGUGCCAAAUCAACAAAGGAAUCAACGAAUCGAAAACUCUGUCUGGUGGCUAUUUUGGUAAGAUUCCCCAUCCGUUUGGUCCUUUCCUUCUUCUCCUCAAUCUGAUUGCAAAAAAAUAUUCACAACUAUAUGCUUCUUAGUAGCAAAUUUUUGUGCUGCGUCAUCGAAUACUAAACUAAUCCGUCCAUCCACGGCUCUGUUUUGGAGAUGAGUCUUUUGUGAGAUAUAGUGUGAAUCCCCGUGCUUCUAUCCUUGAUGUUUCUUGUGCCAAACCUGCAACAAUCGUAUCUCUGUCCAUGUGGAUUGCAAAAGGCACUCGCUCUUCAUCUCUCUUUGUUCCUGCAGUUAUUCAUGCUAUCCAUCUUUGCCUCUGCGUGUAUAUUUCUCACUGUAUUUUUAUGAGCACAGAUUUAACACAAAUUUGAUCUAAAGGUAAUGCAUGGGCUCUAUGAUUUCUCUGUUAUGUUCACCUGAUUUGAUUUCGUGAAACAUCUGUUUAAGAAGCAUUUGUGUAAGUCGCAAUCAUCAUUGGAUAUUUCAUUUACUCACCUGUUUGCUGAGCAGAAGAAUAUAAUUGUUCCUUCUCUGAGUUGCAUCUUACUAUUUCUCACCAUCUCAAAGUCCUGUUUUCUAUUGAUCCAGAUACAUCAUUGCAUGGAGCAUGAUUCAUGUUGCUGAACAGAAGGCUAAAUUGGAGAAGCUUGCAAAACAGUUGUUGCAUUCUGCAUACGUGGAGGUUCUUCCAUACUUCCGAGAUAAAUUGACAGAGAAAAUGGCCUUGAUGUGCUUACCAAUAUAUCAUCAUUCAGUUUUUUUAAUCACUGCAACAACCACAUACCACCAAGACAUGUUUGCUGGUCAAAAGCCUGACCCUGUAAAUGACAGUUUUUACAGGUCUUCAUCGAUGGUUUCAUUCCUAAUUAUGGCUCUUGAGUGGUCUACUCCAUACAAAUAUGCUUUUCUUUGUGAUGUAUUAUUUGUUUUUCAUUUAUUGAAAUUUAUCAACUGACCAGUAUUGGAGAUCCAUGCUUCCUAAAUGCAACAAAUAACCUCUUCCUUACUCUCAAGGUGACCAUUUGUACUUAGCGCCUUCUGUGUAUUUUUGAGGCAGAGUUGGACUCUUCAUCUUCGGUAUUGCUAGAAUUUGUCUACAUCGCGAACAAACCACUAACUUGUGACUUCAGAUGCAAUAUAUUUUUAUUAUUGUUUAUGCAAAGUUCUAGGGAAAUUUGUAUCCAAACUAUUUGACAAUUAGUGAAUGCUUACUGUCUACUAUAUUGCUUUCUAAAUUGAAAAAAGAUGUUUUAUAUCAGUUGGGCUAUUGGUGGCCACUACAUUUGUUUCAUGAUAGUUCUGUGUAGGUGCUUUUUGCCUACAGGUGAAGUCUGAAGUUUAGUUUUCUUAGCUAUUAAUUCCUACCUAACAGGAAAGGAGUUUACCUACUUUCUGUACAUGAAAGGAGUUACUUUCUAAUUCUUUUUUUUUUGUCCAUUCUCCUUGCCUGUUUAAGCGUUUAUAGUUGCAAAAGGACAAAAUUUUCCAUUUUCCUCGCAUGUUUCUGCUGUGAUAUGACCAAUGCUGCGUACCAAUGAUGUGAUUAGUGUUCUCUUUGAGAUCGGUAUUGAAUUUUCAUUUUUGCCAGCAAUUCUUUGAGCUAUUUUGUAUGAGAUGCUAAAGUUUCAAUACCAUAUUUUUUGCCUUCAGAAUAUUUUUUUUUUAACAGACUAGCUUUAUUUAAGGUAUGCUUGACAUAUCUGUUCGAUCAAAAGAAAUACUUCUCUUCUUAUUUGAACUUAGGAAGCAAGGGUUUUCUUUUUACCCCCCUAACCUCAUUUGUAUCCCAUCUUUUUCUAUAAUUAUGCCUACGAAAGCAUUUGAAGCGAGUACUGCAAAGGGCCACUGCUUCAAGUAACUAUACGAAAUAAAUAAUUCUCUCUAACUCUUUCUCUAAUGCUGCAGCAAAAAUCUACAAGAGUUUAGGCUCUGGUUUGAAGAAUCCUUCUUAACCAUAUGCAGUUUUGCCUUUUCUACUAAAUAUUACAUGAUAAUUCUUAUUCUUUUUUUAGUUAACCAAAAUUUCCUUUUAUUGCUAGGUUGUAAUCGACAUGGUCAGGAGGUAAUUGAAUGUGAGGUCAAGUUCUCCCACAAGGUAAGUUUACAAUGUUCUACUUAGAUAAACUUUGAAGCCUUUCAGCACAAACCUUGGCGAUGACAUGGUGUGGGUCUUGCUGACUGUUUUGAUUUUGGUCUGGAUGGGCAAGCCUGGAGAAAUAGCAGACUUGAGAAAUAAAUUUACUGAAACAAUGGCCUUUACAUGCUUACCAAUAUGUCAUCAUUUAGUUGUUAAAUCAAUGCAAUGACCGAACACAACAAACUACAGCGACAUGUUUGCUAGUCAAAUGCCUAACCCCACAGUUUCAUUACUAUUCUACAGGUAAAAAAUAAUACCGAUACGAUUAUUCAAAAUACGUUUCUAGGUGUCAAUGCAAGCUGACGUUCAGUUGUCCUUUUAAUCUCAUUAGUUGAUUCAUUUCUCAAUUAUUGCCAAAAACAGAUUCAGUUCAGUGAUGCAGUAGGUGGGAAAUUAAUUAGUUAAAGCGAGUUUUUUGUUUAAUGAAUGGUGAUGUUCAAUUCCUUACAUGUUUUAAUGAAGUGAAUAACUCUGUUGCUUUGCCAGAUUUAAAUUAGAAUAUAUGUUUAUGUCAAAAAUAAGUUUCUUUUGAUUAACAGUGUACUAAUUUUUCCACUCACACACUCAAAUAUUGUACAAGGCAUCCCUAUUUGCAAGACAUGGAUUAUAGCGAAGAGCAUCAUAUUGGAGCAACAGUACAAAAUGCGCAAGACAUGGAUUAUAGCGAAGAACAUCAUAUUGGAGCAACAAUACAAAAUGCAAGAAACCCGAUUGUCCGAUGCCCUUUCAAUAUCACAUCAGUGAGGUUAUUCAUCACGUCCAAUAUAGUAGGCAUCCCUCUGUUAAGCAUAGAAUAUUGUAGUGUACAACAUUUUCCUCUUUUAUGUUAUGAACUCCGGUUACGAUGUAAUCAUAUCUAUUGUGAUAUCACUUCUAAUAUGUAUCUGACUGUGGUACGUACAUGCUA
Phragmites australis (common reed) is the source of this 4320-nucleotide long non-coding RNA. RefSeq lists it as uncharacterized. Lineage: Eukaryota; Viridiplantae; Streptophyta; Magnoliopsida; Poales; Poaceae. The record is from RefSeq and is a predicted model, not a curated record. The transcript is spliced from 3 exons.